UGCGCUUGCCAGUAACCUGCCGUCCUCCC
Molecule: non-coding RNA, 29 nt
Filed under: Mus musculus (house mouse)
Lineage: Eukaryota; Metazoa; Chordata; Mammalia; Rodentia; Muridae
Source: RNAcentral